RNAcentral lists this ribosomal RNA (529 nucleotides) under uncultured Streptococcus sp. Its description in RNAcentral is "bacterial SSU rRNA". It matches the Rfam family "Bacterial small subunit ribosomal RNA", at positions 71 to 573 of the family's 1533-position model. The record is from RNAcentral. Lineage: Bacteria; Bacillati; Bacillota; Bacilli; Lactobacillales; Streptococcaceae.
UCUCUGGCUUGUAACUGGCGCUGAGGCUCGAAGGCGUGGGGAGCAAACAGGAUUAAAUACCCUGGUAGUCCACGCUGUAAACGAUGAAUGCUAUGUGUUACACCCUUUCCGGGGUUUAAUGACGUAGCUAACGCAUUAAUCACUCCGCCUGGGGAGUACGACCGCAAGGUUGAAACUCAAAUGAAUUGACGGAUUCUCUAGGGAAGUCCCACCCACCCUCGCGACAAUUCAUAGACGACCUGAGAGGGUGAUCGCACACACUGGGACUGAGACACGGCCCAGACUCCUACGGGAGGCAGCAGUAGGGAAUCUUCGGCAAUGGACGGAAGUCUGACCGAGCAACGCCGCGUGAGUGAAGAAGGUUUUCGGAUCGUAAAGCUCUGUUGUAAGAGAAGAACGAGUGUGAGAGUGGAAAGUUCACACUGUGACGGUAUCAUACCAGAAAGGGACGGCUAACUACGUGCCAGCAGCCGCGGUAAUACGUAGGUCCCGAGCGUUGUCCGGAUUUAUUGGGCGUAAAGCGAGCGCA